AUUGAACGCUGGCGGCAGGCUUAACACAUGCAAGUCGAGCGGGGAGAUGUAGCUUGCUACAUUUCCUAGCGGCGGGCGGGUGAGUAAUGCUUAGGAAUCUGCCUAUUAGUGGGGGACAACAUUCCGAAAGGAAUGCUAAUACCGCAUACGCCCUACGGGGGAAAGCAGGGGAUCUUCGGACCUUGCGCUAAUAGAUGAGCCUAAGUCAGAUUAGCUAGUUGGUGGGGUAAAGGCCUACCAAGGCGACGAUCUGUAGCGGGUCUGAGAGGAUGAUCCGCCACACUGGGACUGAGACACGGCCCAGACUCCUACGGGAGGCAGCAGUGGGGAAUAUUGGACAAUGGGCGCAAGCCUGAUCCAGCCGUGCCGCGUGUGUGAAGAAGGCCUUUUGGUUGUAAAGCACUUUAAGCGAGGAGGAGGCUACUUGGAUUAAUACUCUAGGAUAGUGGACGUUACUCGCAGAAUAAGCACCGGCUAACUCUGUGCCAGCAGCCGCAGUAA
This 501-nucleotide ribosomal RNA is filed under the name uncultured bacterium. Its description in RNAcentral is "partial 16S ribosomal RNA". It matches the Rfam family "Bacterial small subunit ribosomal RNA", at positions 30 to 523 of the family's 1533-position model. The record is from RNAcentral.